Molecule: ribosomal RNA, 459 nt
Filed under: uncultured Rhodocyclaceae bacterium
Lineage: Bacteria; Pseudomonadati; Pseudomonadota; Betaproteobacteria; Rhodocyclales; Rhodocyclaceae
Description: bacterial SSU rRNA
Rfam family: Bacterial small subunit ribosomal RNA
Source: RNAcentral
GCACAAGCGGUGGAUGAUGUGGAUUAAUUCGAUGCAACGCGAAAACCUUACCUACCCUUGACAUGUCCGGAAUCCCGAAGAGAUUUGGGAGUGCUCGCAAGAGAACCGGAACACAGGUGCUGCAUGGCUGUCGUCAGCUCGUGUCGUGAGAUGUUGGGUUAAGUCCCGCAACGAGCGCAACCCUUGUCAUUAGUUGCCAUCAUUUGGUUGGGCACUCUAAUGAGACUGCCGGUGACAAACCGGAGGAAGGUGGGGAUGACGUCAAGUCCUCAUGGCCCUUAUGGGUAGGGCUUCACACGUCAUACAAUGGUCGGUACAGAGGGUUGCCAACCCGCGAGGGGGAGCUAAUCCCACAAAGCCGAUCGUAGUCCGGAUCGCAGUCUGCAACUCGACUGCGUGAAGUCGGAAUCGCUAGUAAUCGUGGAUCAGCAUGUCACGGUGAAUACGUUCCCGGGUCUU